This 228-nucleotide long non-coding RNA is filed under the name Elaeis guineensis (African oil palm). RNAcentral's name for it is "long non-coding RNA (EGUI_LNC081133)". Lineage: Eukaryota; Viridiplantae; Streptophyta; Magnoliopsida; Arecales; Arecaceae. The record is from RNAcentral.
UGACGAGCCAUCCAACCUACUGGGGUUGAUCAUCCCGGCCUCUUUGGAAGUAGUAGCCAAUGAUGACCCAUCCAGCCUAUUGGGGUUGGUCAUCACUGGCCGUCAGACCAUCUUUUUUGCAGGACCUUUUGAAUACAAUACAAAUGCAGAACUAGGAUCCAAAGACGACUCCUUAAGCAUCAUUUCCUCUCAGAUAAUAACCUUCGAUUGCGGAGGAGACACUGAGGU